RNAcentral lists this ribosomal RNA (287 nucleotides) under uncultured bacterium. RNAcentral's name for it is "partial 16S ribosomal RNA". It matches the Rfam family "Bacterial small subunit ribosomal RNA", at positions 773 to 1060 of the family's 1533-position model. The record is from RNAcentral.
GUGGAUUAGAUACCCUGGUAGUCCACGCUGUAAACGUUGGGCACUAGGUGUGGGCUCUAACCAACGGAGUCCGUGCCGCAGCUAACGCAUUAAGUGCCCCGCCUGGGGAGUACGGCCGCAAGGUUAAAACUCAAAGGAAUUGACGGGGGCCCGCACAAGCAGCGGAGCAUGUUGCUUAAUUCGAGGCAACGCGAAGAACCUUACCUGGGCUUGACAUGUAGAGAAAUCUCGUAGAGAUACGGGGUCCUUCGGGGCUCUACACAGGUGGUGCACGGCUGUCGCCAGCU